Molecule: long non-coding RNA, 607 nt
Filed under: Gallus gallus (chicken)
Lineage: Eukaryota; Metazoa; Chordata; Aves; Galliformes; Phasianidae
Description: long non-coding RNA NONGGAT004916
Source: RNAcentral
AGCGACCGGGCCCUGCAGGUGGUGGUUGUAGGGCUGGGAGAGGGGACACCAUUUUGUCCUGCAGUAUUUAAAGCUGUCGUCAGGCGGGUGCUAUAAAUAUCAGCACGGGCUGCUCGGAAACAAGGCGCAUGGCGGUCAGGGAUGCGGUGACAUUGGGGUGACAGUGACGAGGUUGUGUGGGGGUGGGGUACAGGUGUGCUCACCCAACGUUUCUCCCCGCAGAGCAUCUCGGACGCCUUCGGGAGCAUCUACCGGCAGCACGGCGUGGCGGGGCUGUGGCGGGGGGUGUCGGGCGCAGUGCCACGCGUGGCGGUGGGCUCGGCUGCACAGCUUGCCACCUUCGCUUCUGCCAAGGACUGGGUCUGCCAGCACCAGGUGACCCCCGCGCCCCGCCUCGGCCCCGUGGUGCGGUGCCACCGCUGACGGCCGUGGAUCCCCGCAGUGGUUCGGGGAGGGCAGCUGGGCGGCGGUGCUGGCGGGCGGCAUGGUGAGCGGCGUGGCCGUGGCGGUGACGAUGACGCCGUUUGACGUGGUCAGCACGCGGCUCUACAACCAGCCCGUGGAGGCUGACGGCACCGGCAAGCUGUACCGCGGGUUCCUGGACUGC